UACGGAGGGGGCGAGCGUUAUUCGGAAUUAUUGGGCGUAAAGGGUGCGUAGGCGGAAUGAUAAGUCAGUGGUGAAAUCCUGCAGCUUAACUGCAGAACUGCCAUUGAUACUGUCAAUCUUGAGUAUAUUUGAUGUGGGCGGAAUGUGUCAUGUAGCGGUGAAAUGCUUAGAUAUGACACAGAACACCGAUUGCGAAGGCAGCUCACAAAACUAUAACUGACGCUGAGGCACGAAAGCGUGGGUAUCAAACAGG
This 253-nucleotide ribosomal RNA is filed under the name uncultured bacterium. RNAcentral's name for it is "partial 16S ribosomal RNA". It matches the Rfam family "Bacterial small subunit ribosomal RNA", at positions 524 to 776 of the family's 1533-position model. The record is from RNAcentral.